CCGCCCCCGCCAGAGGCAGAAGCGGCCGCCGCCGCCUAGGUCCCCUUAACCUCGGAGGAGAAACAGCUGCCCAAUGAAAUUGAUGCAGCUUGCCCUCUUAAAAGACCUGAAUGGGAUUUUACCACUGAAGCAGUUUAAAUAUGUCUUAAACAGGUUUCUGCUUCUGACAGACAUCUGAGUACCAGUUGCUGACUUCAGACUGUUCUAAGUAGACUGCGAACCCUAGACUUGCUAUGGAUGUGAACCAUCCAGCUGAUAUGGACACCCCCUGUCUCUGCAACAGUGUCUGCUAACCAGAAGCCCCUGAUGGAUUCCCCAUUGCCUAAAUUCCUUUUUGCUUUUGACUAGCAUUUCAACCUUCUGGGGUCCCUAACUUCGUCCCAAAGUCAGCAGGAAGCAGUUUGAAAAAGAAUUUCGGCGCCCAUUUUCCCUGGUUAAAAUGCUAAGUCAAAAGAAUU
Molecule: long non-coding RNA, 458 nt
Filed under: Cricetulus griseus (Chinese hamster)
Lineage: Eukaryota; Metazoa; Chordata; Mammalia; Rodentia; Cricetidae
Description: lncRNA (ENSCGRG00015033525.1)
Source: RNAcentral